This 633-nucleotide long non-coding RNA is filed under the name Homo sapiens (human). Its description in RNAcentral is "HSALNT0311563". Lineage: Eukaryota; Metazoa; Chordata; Mammalia; Primates; Hominidae. The record is from RNAcentral.
CCAGGCCGAUUGUACACUGUGAAUGAAGGUUUAAUCUAUGUCAUCCUUUGUCACAGGUCAUCCUGUUGCCUGGGAUGAAGUGUCACAUAGUUUGAAUCCACAUUGCUUGCUGACUUCAUGGGGUGAAUGAACUUUUCCAAGAUUCUGGAAGCCUAUUGUAAUUUGUGUUCUCUACAUUUUCCUGAGGUCCCAGGGAUGCCGUGACUACUAAGCUCUAUGGUAGGAGUUGGGGCAGGAGGAAACAACUUUAGAAGACACCUGUGUGUCCCUCCCUGCUUGCAUCUAGCUUCUUCGUCUGCCCAGGUGGACUGCUCUUACCGUUGCAAAUCUGGGAGCACUCAGUUGUGGAACCCAGCCACCAUGUUGUGAAGAAGCCCUGUGCAGUGGUCCAAGUGACCAGGAGUCAAAGCUCCCAGCCAAUAGCCAGCACUAACUUGUCAGCAGUGUCAUGGAGCCCACUUGAAAGAGGAUUCUAAUUAUGCUGCCCAAGCUGUGGCCACAUGGAGGAGAGAUAUACAGUCCCUGCUGAACCCUGCUCUAAUUACAGGGAGACUUGAAAACCAGUGGUGGCGAGACUCCAAGACUAUUAUUUUUAUUUCCGGACAAAAACAUCUGCUUCACACAGUGCACGGC